Molecule: long non-coding RNA, 718 nt
Organism: Pogoniulus pusillus (Red-fronted tinkerbird)
Lineage: Eukaryota; Metazoa; Chordata; Aves; Piciformes; Lybiidae
Exons: 4
Source: RefSeq, a predicted model, not a curated record
AAGAGCAGCCUUAGCCUCCCGGCUCGCUGCGGCUGUAGCUGGUGGGAGCAGCCGCAAGGUGUCAACCUCCGCUAAGCUGCGGCUUGGAGCCAGCUCUGCUCGGCCGCUAGCAGCCGGGAGGGACAUCCCUGCGCGGAGGCUCUGCUGGAAAACUCGGUACCUGCUGCAGCUUCAGAAGACUGCUUGGCAGGCUCAUGUGCUGAAAACCCCUCCUCUGGACAGGCUCUUCCAGUGCCCUUAUAAACACUAAGAAAUGUCACCACUGGCCACCAACCAGCAGGAAUUUGCUUCUCUCAGUCUCUCAUCUGUGAUGGAUGGUUUGCAACAAGAAGGAUAAUCCUCUUUGCAAGGGAGAAGGUGGCAUAGCCUCUUACCAGGGAGUCACUGUUCUUUGGGGAAUGACACACCAGUUAAAGCUGACAGAGACCUGCGUCAUCAGAUGCCAGUGAUCUGGGGGUGGUGUGGCAGGGCACUCUCUUCCAGCUCUGCUGACUGCUCCCCUUCUGAUCGAGUGGAAGGAACUUAGCUUUUCAUCUGGGCUUCUCACCCGUAGAAGGCAGUCCUCAGCACUUCAAACACUUUUACCUGCCUGUGUGCUGCUGUGCCCAGCAAACUAACUCUGAGCCCCAGCAUGCAGUCCUGGGGGCUUCAGCUUCCUCUGCUCCCAGGCUAACCCUGCUCUCCUUGCCAGCACCAGCAGCUCAGUGUCCCCUCAGCG